RNAcentral lists this ribosomal RNA (445 nucleotides) under uncultured bacterium. RNAcentral's name for it is "bacterial SSU rRNA". It matches the Rfam family "Bacterial small subunit ribosomal RNA", at positions 354 to 796 of the family's 1533-position model. The record is from RNAcentral.
GUAAGGAAUAUUGGACAAUGGACGCAAGUCUGAUCCAGCCAUGCCGCGUGAAGGAUUAAGGUCCUCUGGAUUGUACACUUCUUUUAUAAGGGACGAAAAAAGGCUUUUCUAAGUCGUCUGACGGUACCUUAUGAAUAAGCACCGGCUAACUCCGUGCCAGCAGCCGCGGUAAUACGGAGGGUGCAAGCGUUAUCCGGAUUCACUGGGUUUAAAGGGUGCGUAGGCGGGCAGGUAAGUCAGUGGUGAAAUCCUAGAGCUUAACUCUAGAAAUGCAAUUGAUAAUAUCUAUCUUGAGUAUUGUGAAGGUAAGCGGAAUAUGUCAUGUAGCGGUGAAAUGCUUAGAUAUGACAUAGAACACCUAUUGCGAAGGCAGCUUACUACGCAUAUAUUGACGCUGAGGCACGAAGGCGUGGGGAUCAAACAGGAUUAGAAACCCGGGUAGUCC